GCCAGCAGUCAUAUCACCUGCAACUCACAACUGGCAACCCACUGAAGCCAAGCAGGUGUGAGCCUCCUCAGUACCUGGAUGGGAGACCUCCUGGGAAACACUAAGGUCGCUGCUGGAA
This 118-nucleotide ribosomal RNA is filed under the name Lepisosteus oculatus (spotted gar). The record is from RNAcentral. Lineage: Eukaryota; Metazoa; Chordata; Actinopteri; Semionotiformes; Lepisosteidae.